CCCAUCAUGAGGACGCAGCUUCUUCCUCUUUCAAGGCGGCUCCAUUUAUCUUCCUUUCAGGGGACUUGGGGCCUGCAUUUUUCUCCUCUCUUUUGUACAGGAAUCUUAAUACUUACGCCCAGGCUGUGACCUCUGACCUAAAACAUCUAGGGUUACCAGGAUCAAGUUCAAGGUCCCCAGCACAGUGCACAUGGCUUUUCAAGACCUGACUCCAUCCACCUUUCCAAACGCAUCUCUCCAUUCACAAACUUUGGAUUCAGACUGAAUGAUACCACUGGCUUUCGUAGUUCUCCAGCUUGCACACAUGGGACAUGGCCUCCAUAAGUGCGUGAACCAAU
Zalophus californianus (California sea lion) is the source of this 338-nucleotide long non-coding RNA. RefSeq lists it as uncharacterized. The record is from RefSeq and is a predicted model, not a curated record. The transcript has 3 exons. Lineage: Eukaryota; Metazoa; Chordata; Mammalia; Carnivora; Otariidae.